UUAAUUAAUUAUUAUCAGCGCGGCCUAUCAGCUUGUUGGUGAGGUAACGGCUCACCAAGGCAUCGACGGGUAGCUGGUCUGAGAGGAUGAUCAGCCACGCUGGGACUGAGACACGGCCCAGACUCCUACGGGAGGCAGCAGUGGGGAAUCUUGCGCAAUGGGCGAAAGCCUGACGCAGCAACGCCGCGUGCGAGAGGAAGGCCUUAGGGUUGUAAAUCGCUUUCGGCAGGGACGAAAUUGACGGUACCUGCAGAAGAAGCCCCGGCCAACUACGUGCCAGCAGCCGCGGUAACACGUAGGGGGCGAGCGUUGUCCGGAUUUAUUGGGCGUAAAGAGCUCGUAGGCGGCUCAGUAAGUCUACUGUGAAAGCUCCAGGCUCAACCUGGAGAGGCCAGUGGAUACUGCUGUGGCUAGAGUCCGGUAGGGGAGCGUGGAAUUCCCAGUGUAGCGGUGGAAUGCGCAGAUAUUGGGAGGAACACCAGCGGCGAAGGCGGCGCUCUGGACCGGAACUGACGCUGAGGAGCGAAAGCAUGGGUAGCAAACAGGAUUAGAUACCCUGGUAGUCCAUGCCGUAAACGUUGGGCACUAGGUGUGGGAUCCCGUCAACGGAUUCCGUGCCGUAGCUAACGCAUUAAGUGCCCCGCCUGGGGAGUACG
This 656-nucleotide ribosomal RNA is filed under the name uncultured actinomycete. RNAcentral describes it as "bacterial SSU rRNA". It matches the Rfam family "Bacterial small subunit ribosomal RNA", at positions 214 to 884 of the family's 1533-position model. The record is from RNAcentral. Lineage: Bacteria; Bacillati; Actinomycetota; Actinomycetes; Actinomycetales.